CAAAUUCAAACAUUAGAAUAUGACCUUGACCGUUGACCUUGACCUAAUUUUCAUUUUUUUGGACCAAGGACCUCAAAUCAAAAGAUCCUAGGUCUCUAUCACUUAUGGUGUUCCAGUUUAAAAUACAUUUCAAAAUUUCAAAUACAAAAAGGGAAAUAACUCUCAUAUGGAGCAUUCAUAUUGCUUCGGUCGAAAUUGGACAAAUCAUGCGAAGGAUAUAACGAGCAAUUUUAUAAAAUAAAUUUGUCGUAAUCUUUUACGGUUGCGAAGGAGUUGUGAUCACAAGGAAAACAGUGUUUGGGGAGAUAACUCCUACAAAGAAAAGUAUUCGGUUACGCAGGGUAAAUUUCAAAAGCGCAUAAACUGUUCAAUAUCAUAUACCAAAUAUCUAAGCGACAUAUUGCGAAACAAAUGUUUAUCGCAAGAACAAAAUUUGGCGGAAGAAAAAAAAAUAAUCAGAAGAAAAACAAUAGGUCUUUCCACAGAAAAGUGGAAAGACCUAAUAAUAAUAAUCAGAAC
RNAcentral lists this long non-coding RNA (519 nucleotides) under Mytilus galloprovincialis (Mediterranean mussel). The record is from RNAcentral. Lineage: Eukaryota; Metazoa; Mollusca; Bivalvia; Mytilida; Mytilidae.